Molecule: long non-coding RNA, 188 nt
Organism: Tupaia belangeri chinensis (Chinese tree shrew)
Lineage: Eukaryota; Metazoa; Chordata; Mammalia; Scandentia; Tupaiidae
Exons: 2
Source: RefSeq, a predicted model, not a curated record
CUGCCCAGUACCUGCGGGUCCAAGGGCUCAAGGGCGCUCACUGGAGAGAGCUGCUGAGACACGGAUGAGGCGUCAUCCUCUAUUGGACUGACUUCACUCCAGAACUCAGCCCGGCCUCACCGCGAAGUAGGGGCCUUGCAGGCAGGACAAGCAGAGCACCAGCAGCCCCCAGAGCAGCGUCAUGUUCC